GGUGGCUCAGUGGUAGAGCGCUUGCCUAGCAUGCAUGAAGCCCUGGGUUCGAUUCCCCAGCACCA
Molecule: transfer RNA, 65 nt
Filed under: Dipodomys ordii (Ord's kangaroo rat)
Lineage: Eukaryota; Metazoa; Chordata; Mammalia; Rodentia; Heteromyidae
Rfam family: tRNA
About the family: Transfer RNA (tRNA) molecules are approximately 80 nucleotides in length.
Source: Rfam by way of RNAcentral